CGGGGGGCUGCAGCAGUGGGGAAUAUUGCACAAUGGGCGAAAGCCUGAUGCAGCAACGCCGCGUGAGGGACGACGGCCUUCGGGUUGUAAACCUCUUUUAGCAGGGAAGAAGCGAAAGUGACGGUACCUGCAGAAAAAGCACCGGCUAACUACGUGCCAGCAGCCGCGGUAAUACGUAGGGUGCAAGCGUUGUCCGGAAUUAUUGGGCGUAAAGAGCUCGUAGGCGGUUUGUCGCGUCUGCUGUGAAAAUCCGAGGCUCAACCUCGGACCUGCAGUGGGUACGGGCAAACUAGAGUGCGGUAGGGGAGAUUGGAAUUCCUGGUGUAGCGGUGGAAUGCGCAGAUAUCAGGAGGAACACCAAUGGCGAAGGCAGAUCUCUGGGCCGUAACUGACGCUGAGGAGCGAAAGCGUGGGGAGCGAACAGGAUUAGAUACCCUCGUAGUC
RNAcentral lists this ribosomal RNA (444 nucleotides) under uncultured bacterium. RNAcentral describes it as "partial 16S ribosomal RNA". It matches the Rfam family "Bacterial small subunit ribosomal RNA", at positions 339 to 795 of the family's 1533-position model. The record is from RNAcentral.